This 429-nucleotide ribosomal RNA is filed under the name Bacteroidota bacterium. RNAcentral describes it as "Bacteroidetes bacterium partial 16S ribosomal RNA". It matches the Rfam family "Bacterial small subunit ribosomal RNA", at positions 355 to 776 of the family's 1533-position model. The record is from RNAcentral. Lineage: Bacteria; Pseudomonadati; Bacteroidota.
UAGGGAAUCUUCGGCAAUGGGGGGAACCCUGACCGAGCAACGCCGCGUGAGUGAAGAAGGUUUUCGGAUCGUAAAGCUCUGUUGUUAAGGAAGAACGAGUGUGAGAAUGGAAAGUUCAUACUGUGACGGUACUUAACCAGAAAGGGACGGCUAACUACGUGCCAGCAGCCGCGGUAAUACGUAGGUCCCGAGCGUUGUCCGGAUUUAUUGGGCGUAAAGCGAGCGCAGGCGGUUAGAUAAGUCUGAAGUUAAAGGCAGUGGCUCAACCAUUGUAGGCUUUGGAAACUGUUUAACUUGAGUGCAGAAGGGGAGAGUGGAAUUCCAUGUGUAACGGUGAAAUGCGUAGAUAUAUGGAGGAACACCGGUGGCGAAAGCGGCUCUCUGGUCUGUAACUAACGCUGAGGCUCGAAAGCGUGGGGAGCGAACAGG